Molecule: long non-coding RNA, 406 nt
Organism: Globicephala melas (long-finned pilot whale)
Lineage: Eukaryota; Metazoa; Chordata; Mammalia; Artiodactyla; Delphinidae
Source: RefSeq, a predicted model, not a curated record
ACAACAAAAAACAUAGAAGUUCCAUGACAGACCUUUUAUGUUUAGGUUUUAUUUUUUAACUUCUGUCUGAAAAUUAUCCAUGAGUGUAUUUCUUACCAACUGUCUAGAUGACAUACGCCUAACGUAGUGAUGUUUUUCCUUCCUACCAGGUUUUUGCUGAAGAGGGUUUGAAGCUUGCUUCAAGUGUGCAAGCUUUCUCAAAACAGCUGAAAGAUGAUGAUAAGCUUAUGCUUCUCCUGGAAAUAAACAAGCUUGUUCCUCUGUGCCACCAGCUCCAGGCAGUAACUAAGACACCUUUGCAGAAUCAAGUGUUUCUAAAGGUUGAUAAGAGUAUUACAAAGACAAGAUGCAUAAUGGCUACUUUGGUCCAACUUCUGUCGCUUUGCUAUAAACUGCUGAAGAAGGU